ACGGGAGCUUGCUCCCUUAGGUCAGCGGCGGACGGGUGAGUAACACGUGGGUAACCUGCCUGUAAGACUGGGAUAACUCCGGGAAACCGGGGCUAAUACCGGAUGCUUGAUUGAACCGCAUGGUUCAAUCAUAAAAGGUGGCUUUUAGCUACCACUUGCAGAUGGACCCGCGGCGCAUUAGCUAGUUGGUGAGGUAACGGCUCACCAAGGCGACGAUGCGUAGCCGACCUGAGAGGGUGAUCGGCCACACUGGGACUGAGACACGGCCCAGACUCCUACGGGAGGCAGCAGUAGGGAAUCUUCCGCAAUGGACGAAAGUCUGACGGAGCAACGCCGCGUGAGUGAUGAAGGUUUUCGGAUCGUAAAACUCUGUUGUAAGGGAAGAACAAGUACCGUUCGAAUAGGGCGGUACCUUGACGGUACCUAACCAGAAAGCCACGGCUAACUACGUGCCAGCAGCCGCGGUAAUACGUAGGUGGCAAGCGUUGUCCGGAAUUAUUGGGCGUAAAGCGCGCGCAGGCGGUUUCUUAAGUCUGAUGUGAAAGCCCCCGGCUCAACCGGGGAGGGUCAUUGGAAACUGGGGAACUUGAGUGCAGAAGAGGAGAGUGGAAUUCCACGUGUAGCGGUGAAAUGCGUAGAGAUGUGGAGGAACACCAGUGGCGAAGGCGACUCUCUGGUCUGUAACUGACGCU
This 692-nucleotide ribosomal RNA is filed under the name uncultured Bacilli bacterium. Its description in RNAcentral is "bacterial SSU rRNA". It matches the Rfam family "Bacterial small subunit ribosomal RNA", at positions 72 to 747 of the family's 1533-position model. Lineage: Bacteria; Bacillati; Bacillota; Bacilli. The record is from RNAcentral.